CUGCUCUCGACAAGAACUUCUUCAGACAUGCGGCAUUCUUCUGGGACGAUGGCCUUGGUUAAAUAUUUGGCUCUUAAUACACAGCAUUUUUUUUUCUCUCCUGCAAACACAUGCUCUCAUUUAGAAGGACUUGAAAAUGUCCAUGGUCUUGGAAUCUGGGGUUAAGUCCUGGGCACUAGGGGAAUGAGAACACAGGGCCGAAUGGGAGGGAGUACAGUAUGAGAAAAACAGAGAAGCAAUAUUCUGCCCCUGCUCGGGAAUACCUGGCCCCUAGCACUCACUCUGGAGGGCAGGUGAGUGAGGAAGGGUGCUGGGACGCUUUAUGGCGCAUAAUCACCAUUGCAGCUGUGCAAGCAGAGAUCAAAGAUCACAUCAAAUUUCAAGCUGCAGGGACCUCAAUCUGAUCACCUGCAGAGGUCAGGGAAAGGAAUUUUCUUCCCUGAAGAGCCCCAAGAUUGGCUGAAUUCCCAACAGGGGGGGUUGGCGCUGCCUUGAAGGAUCACGUUACUGGCUACUGCCCAGAAGCCAGGGGACAGGGCCUCGGGGUUGAUGGGGCUGCCUGGGCCAUUCUGUUGUUACUGGCAUAGAAAGGAGCGACUCAGAGAAGGCCUGGGGACUUGGCAUGUCCACUCAAAAACUCCCUUUGGAGUGUCCACUGUCAAGGAAUGAACUGCACACUGGGAUCACACUGGCGCCCUCAGUCACCAACAGGCAUGGCCACAAGGCCACUUCACUGUCAGCCCCAGGUAAGCAAAGCACACGCUCACACCUAAAUUUCCAGGGCAGAGCAGGCCGUACGGGCUGGAUAUCCUGCAGGAUUUACUUGAACAACUGCUCCAAUAAGGUGUUUUGGGGAAAAAACAAAACCAUAAAAAACCAAACCAAAAGCAACCAACUAGUGACUACCGUGAUUGACUUACAACCUGUGUGCACGGUCACAUGUGCCUAGCCUCCCUUUCCCAUGGCUGCCUCUGUCUCUGUUUCUGGACUUCCUCCUGUGCCCACAGCUUCCGAGACGUUCUAGUUCUGAGAGCUGAGGAAUCUUACUAAGCCUUCCUUAACAUAAAGGGGUUUGGACAUGAACUUGAAUGGCAAUUGAGCUGAUUUUCCAGCUGACGGGAGAUGGUUAAUUGCAUGCUGUCUAUAAGAGUCUUAAAAAAAUCUGUCUGGCCACAUUAAUAGAGGCUUGAAAUUUAUGGCUUCAGACCAUUGUGGGGUGAUACGGAACUCAGGGCUCUGGCAACUCAAGGUAAUAAUUUCUUAGGUAGAAGACAAAGCCCAGUGGGCAGAUCCUGGGGCCCUUGAAAGAGAGAUGAUCGAAAGUAAACAUGGCGGAAGUUCCGCCCCUCUGGGAUGGCAUCUGUCUAUUCCAAGUUUGUAGAACACACAGUUGAGAGCAGCAAGAGAAGCUGGGGGCUAUGGAAUGGUCUACUGAUCCGCUCUGCAAGGGGGAUCUGCGGCCCUCUCGGCAAUCAGCUGUUCCCUCAGGGGCCUUUUGUUUCUAAAGACUGAAAACGUAAGAGAGGCAGCUUAUUAUGAGUGGAUGGGCGGAUAGAUUUGUUUUUUUCCUCCCUUGAAUCCUUCAUCAAAAUGCAGCAUUGACAUUUGUGGGAAGAAGAACGUGGGGACCUUCUCCAGGGUCACCCUGUUGAGGGACACAUUCUAGAAUAGUCUUUGAGAGAGGACAGCAUCAGCAGUGGUAUGAGCUGCGACACCUGUGCUUGGAGUCACAGUUGAGGCUCUGAUCAGUGGUCUUCCGCUAUUGGCUUCUUUCUUUUUAUUUAAAAAUGAUUUAUUUGGGGCCAGUGCUUUGGCAUCGUAGACUAAGCCUUCACCUGCAGUGCUAGGAACUCAUGGUUGGGGGGUGGGAUUUGUGUCCCAGCAGCUCCUGUUCCAAUCCAGCUCUCUGCUUAGGGUCUGAGCAAGCAGUAGAAGAUGUCCCAAGCGCUUGAGCUCCUCACAUGGGAGACUUAGAAGAAACUCCUGGCUCUGGUUUUGUAUUGACCCAGCUCAGGCCAUUGUGGCCAUUUGGGGAGUGAACCAGCAGGUGGAAGACCUUUCACUCUGUCUCUCCCUCCCCUAUCUUUAACUCUGCCUCUCAAGUAAAUAAAGAAAAUAUUUAAAAAGUGAACCA
Oryctolagus cuniculus (rabbit) is the source of this 2134-nucleotide long non-coding RNA. The record is from Ensembl. Lineage: Eukaryota; Metazoa; Chordata; Mammalia; Lagomorpha; Leporidae.